UGAUUCAGUCGCAUAUGAUCUCUCCAUAGAGUGAGGCUCUGAACUCAGAAUAUAAGAAUGAAUGAUCUGCUGUGCAUCGGUGCAGUCUAAGGCCUUGUCCGCACUGGUCAGGAUACUCCGAAAGAUGUGGAACAACAGGACAUCCGAGACGGCUGGAUUCUGCUCAAACCAAACAAGGAGAUGACAAUGGAGAACGGAUGUCCAUCUUGGGAGAAGGCAGGAAGGAUGGGUGUCUUGCAUUCAGCCGAAAGAUCCCAAAUUGCAAAGGAGGCGCAUUCCCAGCAAGUGAGACAUGAGCGACAGGAAGGAGGAUUCAAUGAGGCACAAAGCUAGAAAGGAAGAAUUCAAAAACAUAGUCUAGUCUCACUCCCACUUUGUCUGCAGAUGCAACAGACACAAAGACCAGCAACAUGUUGGUCUUUUAUGUAUGCAUAGACAGUUGAGUCUCCAUAUCCACGGAUUCAACCAUCCAUGGCUUAAAAAUAUAGUUUUUAAAAUU
Sceloporus undulatus (fence lizard) is the source of this 499-nucleotide long non-coding RNA. RefSeq lists it as uncharacterized. Lineage: Eukaryota; Metazoa; Chordata; Lepidosauria; Squamata; Phrynosomatidae. The transcript is spliced from 3 exons. The record is from RefSeq and is a predicted model, not a curated record.